CCUACGGGAGGCUGCAGUGAGGAAUAUUGGUCAAUGGGCGGGAGCCUGAACCAGCCAAGCCGCGUGAGGGAAGAAGGUACAGCGUAUCGUAAACCUCUUUUGUCAGGGAACAAAGGCGGGGACUAGUCCCCGGAUGAGGGUACCUGAAGAAAAAGCAUCGGCUAACUCCGUGCCAGCAGCCGCGGUAAUACGGAGGAUGCGAGCGUUAUCCGGAUUUAUUGGGUUUAAAGGGUGCGCAGGCGGCCUGUUAAGUCAGCGGUAAAAGCCCGGGGCUCAACCCCGGCGAGCCGUUGAAACUGGUUUUCUUGAGUGAGUGAGAAGUAUGCGGAAUGCGUGGUGUAGCGGUGAAAUGCAUAGAUAUCACGAAGAACUCCGAUUGCGAAGGCAGCUUACUAAACUGCCACUGACAUUGAUGCUCGAAAGUGUGGGUAUCAAACAGGAUUAGAUACCCGUGUAGUC
RNAcentral lists this ribosomal RNA (459 nucleotides) under uncultured bacterium. RNAcentral describes it as "partial 16S ribosomal RNA". It matches the Rfam family "Bacterial small subunit ribosomal RNA", at positions 338 to 795 of the family's 1533-position model. The record is from RNAcentral.